GAUGAAGUUUCCCUAAUCUCUUGAAGAUUCUAAAGGGUCGUUGAAGACUACAACGUUGAUAGGCAGGGUGUGGAAGCGCAGUAAUGUGUGAAGCUAACCUGUACUAAUUGCCCGUGCGGCUUAACCAUAUAACCCCAAG
This 139-nucleotide ribosomal RNA is filed under the name Gammaproteobacteria bacterium. Its description in RNAcentral is "partial 23S ribosomal RNA". It matches the Rfam family "Bacterial large subunit ribosomal RNA", at positions 2803 to 2925 of the family's 2925-position model. The record is from RNAcentral. Lineage: Bacteria; Pseudomonadati; Pseudomonadota; Gammaproteobacteria.